Molecule: ribosomal RNA, 226 nt
Filed under: uncultured bacterium
Lineage: Bacteria
Description: partial 16S ribosomal RNA
Rfam family: Bacterial small subunit ribosomal RNA
Source: RNAcentral
CGUAACACGUGAGCAACCUGCCUUUGUGUGGGGGAGUAGCCGGCCCAACGGCCGGGUAAUACCGCAUACGUUCUUGCUGAGGAGUCUCAGUGAGAGGAAACCUCCGGGGCACAAAGAGGGGCUCGCGGCCUAUCAGCUAGUUGGCGGGGUAAUGGCCCACCAAGGCGACGACGGGUAGCUGGUCUGAGAGGAUGGCCAGCCACAUUGGGACUGAGAGACGGCCCAG